Molecule: ribosomal RNA, 452 nt
Filed under: Streptococcus sp. oral taxon 064
Lineage: Bacteria; Bacillati; Bacillota; Bacilli; Lactobacillales; Streptococcaceae
Description: bacterial SSU rRNA
Rfam family: Bacterial small subunit ribosomal RNA
Source: RNAcentral
GACGAACGCUGGCGGCGUGCCUAAUACAUGCAAGUAGAACGCUGAAGGAGGAGCUUGCUCUUCUGGAUGAGUUGCGAACGGGUGAGUAACGCGUAGGUAACCUGCCUGGUAGCGGGGGAUAACUAUUGGAAACGAUAGCUAAUACCGCAUAAUAGUAGAUGUUGCAUGACAUUUGCUUAAAAGGUGCAAUUGCAUCACUACCAGAUGGACCUGCGUUGUAUUAGCUAGUUGGUGAGGUAACGGCUCACCAAGGCAACGAUACAUAGCCGACCUGAGAGGGUGAUCGGCCACACUGGGACUGAGACACGGCCCAGACUCCUACGGGAGGCAGCAGUAGGGAAUCUUCGGCAAUGGACGGAAGUCUGACCGAGCAACGCCGCGUGAGUGAAGAAGGUUUUCGGAUCGUAAAGCUCUGUUGUAAGAGAAGAACGAGUGUGAGAGUGGAAAGUUAC